CCUACGGGGGGCAGCAGUGGGGAAUCUUGCACAAUGGGGGAAACCCUGAUGCAGCGACGCCGCGUGAGCGAUGAAGCCCUUCGGGGUGUAAAGCUCUUUCGGCAGGGAAGAUGAUGACGGUACCUGCAGAAGCAGCUGCGGCUAACUACGUGCCAGCAGCCGCGGUAAUACGUAGGCAGCAAGCGUUGUUCGGAGUUACUGGGCGUAAAGGGUGUGUAGGCGGUUCCUUAAGUUUGUUGUGAAAUCUCCCGGCUCAACUGGGAGGGUGCGGCGAAUACUGAGGGGCUAGAGUGCGGGAGAGGAAAGUGGAAUUCCUGGUGUAGCGGUGAAAUGCGUAGAUAUCAGGAGGAACACCGGUGGUGUAGACGGCUUUCUGGACCGCAACUGACGCUGAGACACGAAAGCGUGGGUAGCAAACAGGAUUAGAUACCCUGGUAGUCCCU
Molecule: ribosomal RNA, 443 nt
Filed under: uncultured Candidatus Solibacter sp.
Lineage: Bacteria; Pseudomonadati; Acidobacteriota; Terriglobia; Bryobacterales; Solibacteraceae
Description: bacterial SSU rRNA
Rfam family: Bacterial small subunit ribosomal RNA
Source: RNAcentral